RNAcentral lists this long non-coding RNA (432 nucleotides) under Mustela putorius furo (domestic ferret). Its description in RNAcentral is "lncRNA (ENSMPUG00000030335.1)". The record is from RNAcentral. Lineage: Eukaryota; Metazoa; Chordata; Mammalia; Carnivora; Mustelidae.
UGGGGAGUCAUGGUAACUGUAAACAAAGAUUUAGAACACUAAUAAAGUGUCGGGCGCCAACGAGGUUGACUCUGUGCAGAUACUAAAAGCAAGUAAGCUGGGGGACCCCAGCCAUUUGGGCUGGUGGGGAGCAGGAAGAGGCCAGGAACAGAGAGUGAGAGAAAGAGGGAUUUGCAUGCUGAAACCCCCAUGUUCAGGGCCCGUGGCUUAGGCACUUGAGGUAGAUGCUGUUGGAUGGGCAGAAAAUCCCAGGCCCUGGCUGCUUGGCCCAAAUGUGGUUCUUUACAGAGAAUCCCAGAGUUGGACAAUUAGAAGCAAAACACUUAGAAGGCAAAUGAAGGCAAACUAAAAAGGUCAAAGGGACCCAAGGAAAUGUGAGUAAAACACCAACGUAUAUGCUAACUUAAGAUGUGCUAACAGAGAUGCUAACUU